Molecule: ribosomal RNA, 451 nt
Filed under: uncultured Paracoccaceae bacterium
Lineage: Bacteria; Pseudomonadati; Pseudomonadota; Alphaproteobacteria; Rhodobacterales; Paracoccaceae
Description: uncultured Rhodobacteraceae bacterium partial 16S ribosomal RNA
Source: RNAcentral
CACGGAGUUAGCCGGGGCUUCUUUACUGGGUACCGUCAUUAUCUUCCCCAGCGAAAGAGCUUUACAACCCUAAGGCCUUCAUCACUCACGCGGCAUGGCUAGAUCAGGGUUUCCCCCAUUGUCUAAGAUUCCCCACUGCUGCCUCCCGUAGGAGUCUGGGCCGUGUCUCAGUCCCAGUGUGGCUGGUCAUCCUCUCAAACCAGCUAUGGAUCGUCGGCUUGGUAGGCCAUUACCCCACAACUACCUAAUCCAACGCGGGCCGAUCCUUUGCCGAUAAAUCUUUCCCCGUAGGGCACAUACGGUAUUACCCCCAGUUUCCCGAGACUAUUCCGUAGCAAAGGGUACGUUCCCACGUGUUACUCACCCGUCCGCCACUCACCCCGAAGGAUGCGUUCGACUUGCAUGUGUUAGGCCUGCUGCCAGCGUUCAUUCUGAGCCAGGAUCAAACUCU